AAGACUAUAGACCUGCGGAGUACCUGCGGAAGGAUCAUUGUCAAGUACCGCGACUCUUGUUCGCGGGUCGGGGGGCCCUUCGGGAGGCCCUGUCUGAACCCUAUGUCAUUGUCGCACCUCGCGUUUCCUCGGCGGGCUCGCCCGCCAACGAGGACCCCACACCAAACCCAUUGCAGUAUUGCAGUACACGUCUCACAAACAAUCAAUCAAAACUUUUAGCAAUGGAUCUCUAGAUCGGAA
RNAcentral lists this unclassified non-coding RNA (240 nucleotides) under soil metagenome. RNAcentral's name for it is "partial contains 5.8S ribosomal RNA, internal transcribed spacer 2, and large subunit ribosomal RNA". The record is from RNAcentral.